CGGAAAUAGGUAGACCUGACAGGACCACGGAUUAAUUGCUGCUUCAGCAUCAGAUGAGUUACAAGUUCCUUAAAGAAUUUUUCACACUGUCAUCAGCUCUCCUGGAUGCAUUCCACUCUAUGAGGCCAAGGGCAAAGAAAAAAGAUGCAGUGUUGAGGAUCCUGUCCCUUCCAGUCAUCUGUGGAUGUGCCCACGCUAGACUGUGCUGAACGAUAACCCGUAGAUUAUCUGCUAUCAAAACAGAUGAGGUUCUUGUAUCCAAUUUUGGGACGAUUAGGAUUUAGAAAUCAGAAACCAUCAUGUUUGGCAACUGGUAGCUUUUGUAUCUGGUGGUCUCUGUUAUGGUAUUUCCUGAUGCUGUUGAGGAAUCUGCUUAAUUGGCUGACUAUCCAGAAUCUGGGAAGGCAUUCCUCUUUACAGAUGGAAACAGAAUUUUAAAAUGCUGAGUCCAGUUUUCUCCUUGCAAGCUCCUAAAUUGUCUAUUGAUACUCCCUUUCUCUCUCAAGAUAAUUUGACUCAACUUUGUGGCCCACAACUCUGGGGUUCCUGGGUGAAACUUGAAACUGAUAAUCUUGCACAGAGGACAAGGAGAGAGACUAAAAGAAGCAGACACUGCAGAUGGGUAGGGGAUGGUGGCCUCACCAGGCAGCGGAGCUCAGGUAUAAGACCUAUAGUGUGCCUACUGCAAGAGGAAUGGGUGUUAGCACCUGCUUGCCAGAAUCUUAGGAGUUUAUAUAAAGCCCUUCAAUGGGUUUAGUCCUAUGUUCAACCCAAAUGGUCUCAACAACCUCUUACUGUCUCAAGGCUGGGUCCUUGGGAAAACUGCUGGCAUGGGUCUAGUAGGUAGAAUAAACAUUUCAGGGACAUGGGAGAGGGUAAGGAGCCUCCCCAGUGCCUGGGGCCAGGUCACAGGCCAACUGGCUGUUACAUCCCAUCGAUGACCAGCUGCAACACAACUCUUCUUGAUACGUUAGAGAGCUUGAAUGUGUGCAGGGGUUAUCAGUUGAGUAAAUAUACUUGUAUGUAGCUUUUCCCCAGAGAUGACAUUUUCUAAUAUUCUGAUAAUUAUCAGCUGUAGCUCUCAGUGCCAGUGGAGAACUUUUUUACUAGAAAGGUAAAUGUUUAUACUUGGUUUAUAAUGUCUCAAUCAAAUCGUAUGGUAAAACUAAGAAAGACUGAUCUUAGGGAACAUUGUUAUUUUUUUCAGAAAUGUUAUUGUCCAGGCUUUAGAAUACUCCUUAAAAUUACUGCUAUAGGGGUUCUGGGUGACUCAGUUGGUUAAGCAUUUGACUUCAUCUCAGGCCAGAUCUCCUGGUUCGUGGGUUUGGCCCUGCAUUGGGGCUCUGCUGACCGUGUAGAACCUGCUUGGCAUUCUCUCUUUCCCUCUUUCUCUGCCCCCACCCCCACACACAUAAUUCGUAGCAAUAACUUUUAAAAAUAAGUUUAAUAUUGAGUACCUAUCCACGGCUUAAAUUACAAGUCAAUUGAGUGAUCUAAUAUAAUGAACAAUAUUAUAUAGUAUUUAUUUUUUUAGAAAUCACCAUUAAUAACAGCAUGAAAAUUAAUGAAAGUUAUAUGUAUAUUCCCCUAAUGUUGAGUACCUGCUGUAUCUGUACCGUGAUCUUGCACAACUAAUACAAAGCUAACAUUUCAAGAUGUAUUUCCAUUAAUUCUGUUCUCUCAAUCCCUCUGAAUGUAUCCUCUUGUAUUUUCUAUUCGAGGGAGUAGCACAGCACAGUUUUCCCUUUCUCUGAGAAAUCCUUCUUGGUUCCAUUCUUUCUCUUGUAACUGCCACAUCCAACCAAUCACUAUUUCUUACUGACUUCCUGCCUACAUGUUGUGAGAAUCCCUGGAAAAUAAGUCUGUGAAUAUCAACAUAAUGACUGAUCUUUUUAUGGUAGGUAUGGACUAGUCACUUAAUUUGAAGGAGUGUCGUAGUGUGGUUGUAAUGCAAUUGGGGAUGGCAGGGAUCGUGGCAAACCAUCUGGAUAGUAGCCACGUGGAAGUACAGGCUUCGUGUUUUCAGAUAUUCCAGUGUUUUGACAGAAGCUUGGAAUUGGAGUCUGUGUUCGCUACUGAUUUUUAAAUGUUAGCCUGUAAUUCAAAUAAAGAAUAUGCCAGGCCACUUGAGUUGUGUAAAUCUAGUUUACCCUGUGGGUUGCCAGUUUUAGAUCUGUGUAUAUAAAUCGUGUUGGGUACCAUGUGUCAUAUACAGUUAACUUUUCUCUGAAGUUACUAAAUAGCUUAUUUUUCAGAAACUGGCUUUCUAGAUUGAUGCUCUGAAAAUACUGAAGAGACCAAUAUGUAAUUGUGCCUUCAUUGAGGUAUCUUAAGAGAUUGAUCAUCUGAUUUCUUGGUUAUCUUUUGCCAGAAGGGACGGACUUCAAACUCUAUUACAUUAAGUAGCCUCUUCUCUAUUUGAGAGCUUUUUAUUAACUUAGGAGUUAAUGCAUUUUAUGACAUUAAAAAUCUCUUGAGAAUUUUGAGCUCCUGAAUAGUUUUAAGGCUCACCUGGGAUUCUAUUAAAAUUAUUGCUAAUACUGUGUUCAUGGCAUAACAUUUGACGGAAAUUGUUAAAUUUAGACACUAAGGUGUUUUUUUUUUUUUUUUUCCUUGUAUGGCUAGAAACCCUAAGACUGCUAAAGGUUAGGAAAAUCUUAGCUGAAAUUUCAGUGGUAUCUAUGGGAAUAUCGAGGAAUAGAAAGGCUAGUGACUGGCAGUUUCCAUGACGACAACGGAAUUUUCGGGGCUAGAGAGAUGUGUAGGUUACACCAUCAAAUGUGCCAGAGAUUGGUCUCCAUGACGACAGCAAUGUGAAUGGGGAAAUAUAUGCUCAUGAGAUUUUGUUUUAAAAGCAUAUUGGGCUAAUUUAGGAGAGAAUGCUUGCCAAAUCAAUAUUUUUUCAAAGAAAUACAGUCAAAAUAAGGGAUUCCAUUUCUUCCUGUAUUUUUGGAGAAAGUAACGUUUUUGAGUAUUUGUGUUAAGAGGGGUUAUUGACUUACAAAUAACUCCUUUGGCUGCAUUUCUGAAAAGCACCCAAAGAAUGCAGAUUUUUCAAAUUUACUUUUAAAUUUCAACGUUCAUUUCUGAGAGCAGUGCCUCCAAAUGUGAAAAUAACUAGAGUUAUUUAAACUUUUUGAUGUUUCUGAACCUAAAUCAACCACCAGAAUGCAUCAUGUAUUAAAGCUUUAUUCCUGUUGCAUCAAAAGACAGAGGAUUUAUUACCACAGUGAUAGAAUAGAAGAAUGCUCAAAACUAAGUUCCUCUCGUGCUUCAAUUUGUAACCACUUUGGGUGAAUUUUCCUUAUUGCUGCGUUCUGAAAUCUCUAAUGUGUAGAGUAGGGAGAUAUGGGCCAUGCCUUUUAGUGUGUUGUGUGCAUAAUUAAGGACCAACAUACAAAGGGUUAGUAAAGGAUCAAUUCAGCCAUAGAAAUAAAUGCUGGCCUUAUGCCUAAGGUUUAAAACACUUUGUGAACACAUUUUGUUUCAUGGGCAGAUGCUUAUGUAAUUUUUUGAGAUGUGCUUUGUAAGAUUGACUUGUGUUAGUGAAGAAAUGUGAAAUUAUAAAACUGGAAACUGGGUUUUGGAAAAGCAAAGAAGGGAUAGUAACCUUAGGGCUGGUACUGGCUGGGAGCAGUUAGACACAUGGGACAAGAGGAAGAAGGUAAUCCCAGAACCUGGGGAGAGUGGCUCUGGGGAGAGUCACCUGCCAGGAGCUGCUGCCUUUUGUAGAGGGACACAGCUGGCCAACUUGGGGUCAGUGUAGCAGUGCAGGGGUUUGGGGAGUAAAUGCUCUGACUAACCUCUCCACCCCUCCCAAGUUCCUGCUGGUGUUCGCUAUUGACUGAACCAACAGAAGUGAGAAGACAAAGACUCAAGUAGACCAAGUCCCUAAAGGUCCAUUCUAGAGGGCACAGACCGGUGAAUCCCGUAAGCCAAACACAAGCUAUCUAGCUCCACAAAUAAUGACACAUUUUUCAAAGUGCCAAGAAUGAAAAAUGUUUUGAUCUAAAAAUAUCCCAUGCAUACACCUAUACAUAAAUACAUCCAUGUGUUAGUUUAGGUAAAUAGUGGUGUAAAUAUUGA
Molecule: long non-coding RNA, 4086 nt
Organism: Felis catus (domestic cat)
Lineage: Eukaryota; Metazoa; Chordata; Mammalia; Carnivora; Felidae
Exons: 2
Source: RefSeq, a predicted model, not a curated record